RNAcentral lists this ribosomal RNA (776 nucleotides) under Microlunatus lacustris. Its description in RNAcentral is "bacterial SSU rRNA". It matches the Rfam family "Bacterial small subunit ribosomal RNA", at positions 67 to 855 of the family's 1533-position model. Lineage: Bacteria; Bacillati; Actinomycetota; Actinomycetes; Propionibacteriales; Propionibacteriaceae. The record is from RNAcentral.
CGGUAAGGCCCCUUCGGGGGUACACGAGUGGCGAACGGGUGAGUAACACGUGAGCAACCUGCCCUUGACUCUGGAAUAACAGUUGGAAACAGCUGCUAAUACUGGAUAUUCAUCGUCUCCUUCCUGGGGGGUGGUGGAAAGCUCCGGCGGUCAGGGAUGGGCUCGCGGCCUAUCAGCUUGUUGGUGAGGUAAUGGCUCACCAAGGCUUCGACGGGUAGCCGGCCUGAGAGGGCGACCGGCCACACUGGGACUGAGAUACGGCCCAGACUCCUACGGGAGGCAGCAGUGGGGAAUAUUGCACAAUGGGCGCAAGCCUGAUGCAGCAACGCCGCGUGCGGGAUGACGGCCUUCGGGUUGUAAACCGCUUUCAGUAGGGACGAAGGGUGACUGACGGUACCUACAGAAGAAGGACCGGCUAACUACGUGCCAGCAGCCGCGGUGAUACGUAGGGUCCGAGCGUUGUCCGGAAUUAUUGGGCGUAAAGGGCUUGUAGGCGGUCCGUCGCGUCAGAAGUGAAAACUCAGGGCUUAACCCUGAGCCUGCUUUUGAUACGGGCGGACUAGAGGGAUGCAGGGGAGAACGGAAUUCCUGGUGGAGCGGUGGAAUGCGCAGAUAUCAGGAGGAACACCGGUGGCGAAGGCGGUUCUCUGGGCAUUACCUGACGCUGAGAAGCGAAAGCGUGGGGAGCAAACAGGCUUAGAUACCCUGGUAGUCCACGCCGUAAACGGUGGGCACUAGGUGUGGGGGACAUUCCACGUUCUCCGUGCCGAAGCUAA